RNAcentral lists this ribosomal RNA (274 nucleotides) under uncultured bacterium. Its description in RNAcentral is "partial 16S ribosomal RNA". It matches the Rfam family "Bacterial small subunit ribosomal RNA", at positions 523 to 796 of the family's 1533-position model. The record is from RNAcentral.
AUACGGAGGGUGCAAGCGUUAUCCGGAUUUACUGGGUUUAAAGGGUACGCAGGCGGUAAUUUAAGUCAGUGGUGAAAGCCUACAGCUCAACUGUAGAACUGCCAUUGAAACUGAAUUACUUGAGUAUGGUAGAGGUAGGCGGAAUACAACAUGUAGCGGUGAAAUGCAUAGAUAUGUUGUAGAACACCGAUUGCGAAGGCAGCUUACUAAACCAUUACUGACGCUCAUGUACGAAAGCGUGGGGAGCAAACAGGAUUAGAUACCCUAGUAGUCC